GGCAUCUCUCGUUCAUAAUUUAUUAAAGUACAGCAUGUUACGGUCUGUGUAAAAAUGGGAUAACACUGAGCGUCGCGUGCCAAUGUCCUGUUUGGCACCACUGACAGAGAAAAAAACAACAACUCGACAUUAAAAGAAUCGCAGAUAGUCUUCUCAGGGCUUCCUGAACCUCCUCCACCAUCUGAGUGACAUUUCUCAGCACUGCUCCUGCAGUUGGGUCAGGGGUCAAGGCCACUUCUGCCCAGCUCUUUGUCUCAGGUCACGUAUGAAGGCCUGAGAGCGAAGUUCUGCAGCCCGAUGUCCCAUCUCCACCACCUCCAGAAGUUCGGCCUGGGACUUCUCAACAGCUUUCAUUAACUCAGCAAACAUACUCACAGUGUCUUGGCAGGAGGGAGAGAAUGAGCAUCAUGGGAUACCAGAGGCUCACUGGAUGAUGUUCUUUGGAAGCGGCUCCUCAUUUCUGGCAGGAAGCCUCUGGGCAG
Onychostoma macrolepis is the source of this 482-nucleotide long non-coding RNA. RefSeq lists it as uncharacterized. The record is from RefSeq and is a predicted model, not a curated record. The transcript is spliced from 4 exons. Lineage: Eukaryota; Metazoa; Chordata; Actinopteri; Cypriniformes; Cyprinidae.